GAAAAGACAGUGAUCAGGAGUAGUAAUGGUUCAUACCCGCAAAUAGAGAGUUGACGGCUGGUGGAAGUCAACCGGGUACAUCAUGAACUCGCCUUUGAGUUGCAAGCGUGAAGGAAUAGUAAGGCUUGCCGUUUUCCGCGUUAAGGAUGAAUGAAGCGAGUGCAGUCAGCACUAAUGUGGGUGGUACCGCGGGAAGAUACAUACAAUCCUCUCGUCCCUUUU
RNAcentral lists this non-coding RNA (222 nucleotides) under Bacillus sp. (in: firmicutes). RNAcentral's name for it is "Bacillus sp. T-box sequence". It matches the Rfam family "T-box leader". From Rfam's summary of the family: Uncharged tRNA acts as the effector for transcription antitermination of genes in the T-box leader family. T-boxes are found upstream of many aminoacyl-tRNA synthetase genes and some amino acid biosynthetic genes usually in Gram-positive bacteria. Lineage: Bacteria; Bacillati; Bacillota; Bacilli; Caryophanales; Bacillaceae. The record is from RNAcentral.